GAUACACAAUGGUGCAGCGGGAC
Molecule: non-coding RNA, 23 nt
Filed under: Arabidopsis thaliana (thale cress)
Lineage: Eukaryota; Viridiplantae; Streptophyta; Magnoliopsida; Brassicales; Brassicaceae
Source: RNAcentral